CAAGAGUUUGGGGCAAGUAAGAAGAUGGUGAAAAUCUGGAAAUAUAGGUGUUCACAAUGGCAGCUGAAGAAUUUUCCACAUGGGCAAGAAGCAAAGAAGUUAUGCCAGAGAAGGAGUGGGAAGAUAAGUCAGCAAGUGCCAAUUCUCAGGCUGAAAAGGCUUCUUGAAUCGGUGAUUUUCCAAAUCCAGUCCUUACCUACGACCGGCAAAAAGGCAAGGGUCUCCAGCUACAGGCCUAAGACCACCAUGAUCAUCUGCAACUUCACUCCUCUGCGCAGGGGCUCCAAAUAAACACUCUCCCCUCACAA
Echinops telfairi (small Madagascar hedgehog) is the source of this 308-nucleotide long non-coding RNA. RefSeq lists it as uncharacterized. NCBI's taxonomy places the organism in Eukaryota, Metazoa, Chordata, Mammalia, Afrosoricida, Tenrecidae. The transcript is spliced from 2 exons. The record is from RefSeq and is a predicted model, not a curated record.